GUCCACGCCGUAAACGAUGGGUACUAGGUGUUGGGGGUAUUGACCCCCCCAGUGCCGCAGUUAACGCACUAAGUACCCCGCCUGGGAAGUACGGCCGCAAGGCUAAAACUCAAAGGAAUUGACGGGGGCCCGCACAAGCGGUGGAGCAUGUGGUUUAAUUCGACGCAACGCGAAGAACCUUACCUGGGCUUGACAUCUCAGGAAUCCCCUGGAAACAGGGGGGUGCCCGCAAGGGAGCCUGAAGACAGGUGCUGCAUGGCUGUCGU
This 266-nucleotide ribosomal RNA is filed under the name uncultured bacterium. RNAcentral describes it as "partial 16S ribosomal RNA". It matches the Rfam family "Bacterial small subunit ribosomal RNA", at positions 793 to 1055 of the family's 1533-position model. The record is from RNAcentral.